GGAAGGAAUGUUGUUAGGCUUUUUUUUAGUCCUAAAGGCGUGCGGAGACACCUCUGUCUCUUUGCUCUUUUUCUCUUUUAUUACUCUUUUUUUUUUCUUUUCUUUUCCAUUAUAAUUAUACACCUGGCUCGUAUAAUCUAAAGUUCUACUAAGGUUGGCUGAUUUUCGAGCCAUAAACUAUUUCGAUUCUCAGCUUUCACUCUCAGACUUUUGGACCCUUAAAUUUCCACCAUCAACUUUCAUAUUCCCAAAAUUACAUCAUCUACUUUCGGAUUCAUGCUUAAACAUACAUUUCUAAUUGAACCAUUCAUUUAACCAGGAUUAACCACAAAUCCGCGUUUACUGUACCGCGAUUGCGAUUAACCCGACUAAUACCCAGACCCGUUAAGAAAACGACAUCGUUUUCAUUUCGUUUAACUCAUCAAAAAGAGAAAGAAAACGACGUCGUUUUCAUUCUUCUUCUUCUGCAAAAUCGAUUUGGUCGAUUAGGGUUCUUCAUUCGACAAUUUUAUAAGAAAAUGAGCACCAACAGCUACUACUCAUCCGCUUCCAGUUCAGGAUUUCGUGUCUGUCCUCCUUGUGUCCCCUCGAAAUGUUGGUGUGGAGAAGAGAUCAUUACAUUCACAUCGAAAACAAAGGAGAAUCCAUACAGGAGAUUCUACCGUUGUGCGAUAGCAAUGAAGGUACACAUUUCGAUUUUGUGAUAUAUUUGAUUGAUUGAAGGAGUAAAUGAUUGGAAAUUCUGUUUUAUAGAGAGAAAAUGAAGAGCACUUGUUCAAAUGGGUUGAUGAAGCUCUCUUGGACGAAAUUAAGAUGGUAAAUGAGAAGUGUAAGAGAGUUGCAGAGAAUAUUAGUGACCUCAGAAUGAACGUGAUGGCUAAUAUGGAGCUCCUUAAUAAAAACGGUAAGCAGAUGGAGGAAGAGCUGAUUAAGAAGAUGGAGGGUGAACUCUUGACCAUGAAGGAGAAUGUGGAAGAGCUAGGACAUGUUAUGGCAAAGUCAGCUUUGAAGACUGUAGGGGUUGCUGUUGUGAUUGUUGCAUCUAUUGUAUGGCUUUGGGGAAGAGUGUAGGUGUUGUUGAGGUUUUGGAGUGAAAUUGUAGUAUUGGAUUAGUCUCUGUUUUGAAGCUUGUCAGGGUUUGGCUAUGUUUGUCUUUGUUUUGGAUUGUGUAAGUGUCGAGAUUAAACGAUGGAGGGUUUGUGAAUCUAUCUAUGUUAUGUCUUAUGUGUCUUUGUCUAAUGUGAAUCGAUGCAUAACAUAAGAAUAGAUAAGAAUCCAUACAAAAGAGGGAUAAAGAACAUCCUAAACAUUAACCGAAUAAUACAUCAUCCUACAAAGCCUCAAGAGGAUAAAGAACAUCCUAAACAUUAACCGAAUAAUACAUCAUCCAAAAUAGACAAAAGAGGAUGAAGAUGGUUAAGAUUGUUCCAAAAUAGACAAAAGAGGAUUGAGAACUAGAACUAGUCCAACUGGUCCGAUUGAUCCCAUUGACUGCUUCUCUGAGUGAGUGUGAUUGUAUCAGCUCCAUGUGUUGUUUCUUGGAGCUCCAUUGUAGGCUGAGAUGUUCCAGCCUCCUAAAACAGAAACAACAUUCAAACAUGAGCACCGAAAUGGCUAACCAAACAGCAGCCUAAAACAGAAACAAACCUUAAUCUCUUGAUUCUUCUUCUUCCUACCCUUCUUCUCCUUUGGGAACUUCUUACAUCCAGCUGCAUUGUGACCUGCUUCACCACAUGAUUUGCAAUGCAUUACUACGCCCUUCUUUCCUACUUUUAAUCUCUGUGGACCCUUCUUCUUUGGUGACUCAUUUGGACCCUUGAUCCGAUGAUAGUUCUUCUUCUCACCUUUCUUUCUCCCAGGUGGAACAGGAUCUUGAAGUGGUGCAGUUAUUAAUCCUAAACCAGUAGGCCAAUACAUUUGCCCUCUAACUGGAUCCGGCCCGGUAUCAUACUGUUCUCGCCAAGCGAUAGUGUAAAACAUUGGAAUAACAAAAUCUUCAACAUCCUUACCCACAUCAUUGAUGGCCGCAUAGGCAUGUUCACACGGAAUCCCUGUGACUUGCCAUUUGCAGCAAGAGCAAUCCCACUCCUCAGUUUUCAAGCUCACAGCAUUAGAAUUCCCAUCAAACCAAACCUCAAAUUUCUCAUGCGUUCCUUUGGUCACUUCACAUUUAACAGCAAGUUCCCACUCCUCUUUCAGAAUCUCUGAGACAUACUCAGAUAUCUUCUUCUUCCAUUUCCCUAUCUUCGCCUUUCUCUUACUUAUACGUGCCAUAGCUUGUCUCCUAAUUGUUUCCAUCAUAGGCACCAAUGCCUUGGCCCUAGCUUUGACAAUUGUGGCAUUGAAAGACUCUGUUGCAUUGUUGUCUACAUCCUCACAGUAGCUGCCUAUUCUAAACCAAGAUCUGCACCAAGUAUUUGGUUCUUCCUUCAUGACAUCCUCAUACAAAGACAUGAUGUAAGCUCUCAUCUCAUUGAGAUUAGCUUUGUAUUGUGUAUCACUGUAACUCCAUGCUAGAUUCCAUACAAACUUCUUCAACAAAUCUAAUGAACCAUGUCGUUUUUUCAGAUUCUCCACUAUAUGCUUCACACAAGGUCUGUGUUCAGCAUUUGGCAAUGCAUUCUUGACAGCACUAAUAAUCCCCUGUCAAAUACAAACACAUUAGCAUCUAUAAAGCACUAUCAUCUAUACAUAAUUAAAUAAUCAGACAUAAGAUAAUACUAACCUUGCAACGAUCUGAUAUGACCACAUAGCCACUGCCAUCCUUUAGUUCCAAGUCAUGCUUCAGCUGAUUCAAAAACCAGAGCCAAUUCUCUGCAUUCUCAAACUGAACAGUUGCCCACGCCACUGGAUAGAUUUGGUUGUUCGCAUCAUGAGCUAUAGCAGUGAGCAGACAUCCCUUAACCGCAUGCUUCAAAAAUGUUCCAUCUAUCCCAAUGAGAGGCCUACAGAAGUAAAACGCAUUCUUCAUUGCUCCAAAACAAACAUAAAUCCGGUUGAAGACAUCAUUCUCGUUUGCAUCCCUAAUGGUAUCAACAAUUGCAGUUGAUCCUUUGUUUGUACUCAAGAUUUCUGCCACAUAGCCUCGAAGGUGUGCAAACUGUUGGGCAUAUUCUUCUUUCAGCCACUUAAGAGCUAGAAGUCUUCCAUCUUGCACUUGUCCAAUAGUACUAACUAGCUUCCAUUGCUCCUUGAUAUGCCUCUGAAUGUCAAGAGGCAUGAAAUUAGGCUGCAACCUUAGCUUAUCCAUAAACAAUCUACCAAUCACUCUCCUCUUCAACAGCUUGCAUUUUCCAUUAGAAGUACAAGAAUGAUCCAGACAUUUGGUCUUCAAAACCCACAAUUGCCUCUCGUGAGAGUAUGAGGCAUAGACAUACCAUUCACACUCCUUCCUUUGAGCACAUCUAAAGCUAAUUUUAUCUUUUUCCCACCUAUUUUGUUUAGCAUUUAUCCUAUGCUUCAUUGCAUAAUGCAAGACAACCUCUUUGAAUUCAAAACCAGUGAAGAAUGUUCUGCCUAUAGCUAACCUAUCAUCCGAAGCUAACCUAAUCUUCCUAUCUCUAGUGAUCACAUGAUCUUCUUCUUCAUUAUCACUUUCUGGUAUUUCGUUCCUUCUAAUCUUUAACUCAUCAUACCACAUAGCUACUGCUUCCUCUAUCUCGAACUCAAACCUCUCGGCCAAAUCUUCUUCCGGCUCAUCCUUCUUCUGUUUUCUCCUCUUCUUUUGACCUUCUUCAGCCUCUUCCUCCUUUCUUUUCUCUUCUCUCGUCCUCUUCUUUUGACUUUCAUCUCUGUCUCCAUCGUCUUCUAGAUUGAUGUCUCCAUCAGACGCUAUAUCACCAUCGUCUUCUCUAUUCUCCUCUCCAUCAGAUUCUCUGUCUCCAUCUAUCCCGACGUCGUCUCCCUCAACUCCGGUGGCUUCGUCCUCCUCGACUCCGCUAUCACCACUAUCACUUCCAUCGUCGGCUUCAAUGUCACUCUCUGGAGGUUCGAAAUCGGGGUCAUCUGGAUCGAUUUGGUAAAUCAAUCCUUCCUCCCACCAAUUCUUCAUUUCUCCCUAUUCGAAACCCAAAUCGAGACCCAGAAAUUCGAAUCGAAGAAGAAAACCCCAAAUCUCCUUUUGUCUUUCUCUCUCAAGAACCCUAAUUUCACAGUGUCGAGAUUAAAGAAGAACGACCAAAUCGAUUUGAGAGUUAAAGAAGAAUGAAAACGACAUCGUUUUCUUUCUCUUUUUGAUGAGUUAAACGAAAUGAAAACGACGUCGUUUUCUUAACGGGUCUGGGUAUUAGUCGGGUUAAUCGCAAUCGCGGUACAGUAAACGCAGAUUUGUGGUUAAUCCCGGUUAAAUGAAUGGUUCAAUUGGAAAUGUAUGUUUAAGCAUGAAUUCGAAAGUAGAUAAUGUAAUUUUGAGGAAUAUGAAAGUUGAUGGUGGAAAUUUAAGGGCCCAAAAGUCCGGGGUGAAAGCUGAGAAUCGAAAUAAUUUAUGGCUCAAAAAUCAGUCAUACUAACAUUGUAAUACAAAACAUGAUUUUGUAAGAUUGAUCUAGUUUUAGAAAAAUCACUUUUGGCUGAAGAUAAUAGGACCGACUUUUUCUUGUUGUAGUUGUGAGAUCUCAUAAAGAAGAAUUAUAGACUUAAGUGUUAUAUUAACCAAUUUUUAAUUUAAUUCUUCAUAUACAUUAUCUAUCUUAUUAAGUUUGGCUGGAAAAAUCUGUAAGUCAGUAAAUGUUUACUUCAAAAUGUAGAAUUCAUAAUUUUGUAUUUAGAAUAGUAGAAUUUAUCUCCAAAUUAGUAAACUAGAUUUUAGAUUGUCAUGAAAAGUGAUACAAACCAAUAAUUUUUUUGUAAACUAAGAUAGUGGAAAAAUCUGUAAGUC
RNAcentral lists this small RNA (4876 nucleotides) under Arabidopsis thaliana (thale cress). RNAcentral describes it as "ATSL026140". Lineage: Eukaryota; Viridiplantae; Streptophyta; Magnoliopsida; Brassicales; Brassicaceae. The record is from RNAcentral.